CCCUUAGAUGUUCUGGGCCGCACGCGUGCUACACUGAGUGGAUCAGCGGGUCAGGUUGCGCGAAAGUGUUUCCUAAUCUUGAAAUCCGCUCGUGAUGGGGAUUGACGGUUGCAAUUUUCCGUCAUGAACGAGGAAUACCUUGUAAGCGCGGGUCAUCAUCCCGCGCUGAAUACGUCCCUGCCCUUUGUACACACCGCCCGUCGCUCCUACCGAUUGAGUGGUCCGGUGAGGCUUUGGGAUCUAAGCGGAAAGAGCGUUUCGCUGUUUCUGCUCGGAAAACUCAGUCGAACCUUAUCAUUUAGAGGAAGGAGAAGUCGUAACA
This 322-nucleotide ribosomal RNA is filed under the name uncultured eukaryote. RNAcentral's name for it is "partial 18S ribosomal RNA". It matches the Rfam family "Eukaryotic small subunit ribosomal RNA", at positions 1470 to 1796 of the family's 1831-position model. The record is from RNAcentral.